Molecule: transfer RNA, 76 nt
Filed under: Clostridiales bacterium
Lineage: Bacteria; Bacillati; Bacillota; Clostridia; Eubacteriales
Also listed under: 3 other names
Description: tRNA-Asn
Rfam family: tRNA
About the family: Transfer RNA (tRNA) molecules are approximately 80 nucleotides in length. Their secondary structure includes four short double-helical elements and three loops (D, anti-codon, and T loops).
Source: RNAcentral
GCCCUUAUAGCUCAGUCGGUAGAGCAUGCGGCUGUUAACCGCAGUGUCAUAGGUUCGAGUCCUAUUGAGGGCGCCA